AUGGCCGCGGUAUUUUGACCGUGCAAAGGUAGCAUAAUCAUUUGUCUCUUAAUUAGAGGCUUGUAUGAAUGGUUGAAUGAGGAAUUAACUUUUUUAUUUUAAAAAAUUGAAAUUAAAUUUUUAGUAAAAAUGCUAAAAUAUUUAUAUAAGACGAGAAGACCCUUUAAAUCUUUAUUAUUUUAACUAUAAUUUUUUAUUUAAUAUGAUUUAUUAGUAUAAUUAAAAUAAUUUUAUUGGGGUGAUAUUGAAAUUUAAUUAACUUUCAAUUUUUAUUUCAUAAAUAAAUGAAUUUUUGAUCCAUUAUUAAUGAUUAGUAAAUUAAGUUACUUAAGGGAUAACAGCGUAAUUAUUUUGGAGAGUUCAAAUCGAUAAAAUAGAUUGCGACCUCGAUGUUGAAUUAAGAGUAAUUCUAGCGUGUAGAAGUUUAG
This 428-nucleotide ribosomal RNA is filed under the name Dasyhelea saxicola. RNAcentral's name for it is "partial 16S ribosomal RNA". The record is from RNAcentral. Lineage: Eukaryota; Metazoa; Arthropoda; Insecta; Diptera; Ceratopogonidae.